AACCUUACCUACUCUUGACAUCCAGAGAAUUCGCUAGAGAUAGCUUAGUGCCUUCGGGAACUCUGAGACAGGUGCUGCAUGGCUGUCGUCAGCUCGUGUUGUGAAAUGUUGGGUUAAGUCCCGCAACGAGCGCAACCCUUAUCCUUUGUUGCCAGCGAGUAAUGUCGGGAACUCAAAGGAGACUGCCGGUGAUAAACCGGAGGAAGGUGGGGAUGACGUCAAGUCAUCAUGGCCCUUACGAGUAGGGCUACACACGUGCUACAAUGGCAUAUACAAAGAGAAGCGAACUCGCGAGAGCAAGCGGACCUCAUAAAGU
This 316-nucleotide ribosomal RNA is filed under the name Hafnia sp. VA21. RNAcentral's name for it is "bacterial SSU rRNA". It matches the Rfam family "Bacterial small subunit ribosomal RNA", at positions 967 to 1282 of the family's 1533-position model. The record is from RNAcentral. Lineage: Bacteria; Pseudomonadati; Pseudomonadota; Gammaproteobacteria; Enterobacterales; Hafniaceae.